AAAGCUGCAUGUAGUAAAAUAAGAAUAAUCAGACUCCACAGAGCAUUACACUUCUAAUAACAAUAACCCCUUUUUUUUUCUAGAAGGCAUAUAAGACUAGAGUCCAAAUCAAUGUUUUUGUAGUGAAAAACAACACAGAAUAACUUCAAAUUCCACAUUUUUAUUCAAACCCAAAUUUCAUUCACAUAUUGAACAGAAAUUGAACUUUUCAUGUGCAUGUGUAUAUAUAGGAUAUCAAUCUUUGGUUCAUUUUCAUCAAUGGCUAUACUAAGGAAGCCAAAUUGCUAUCUCCUUGUUUUGGCAGUGGUUUUUCUUUCAGGAUCUUUGUGUGUUGGAGCUGGAAAUGAGUAUACAUCAGCAGUGGGUGAUCCGGCCAUGAGGAGAGAUAGUCUAAGAUUGGCGAUAGAGUCAUGGAAUCAGUGCAAU
This 426-nucleotide unclassified non-coding RNA is filed under the name Hevea brasiliensis (rubber tree). The record is from RNAcentral. Lineage: Eukaryota; Viridiplantae; Streptophyta; Magnoliopsida; Malpighiales; Euphorbiaceae.